Molecule: small nuclear RNA, 106 nt
Organism: Cercocebus atys (sooty mangabey)
Lineage: Eukaryota; Metazoa; Chordata; Mammalia; Primates; Cercopithecidae
Source: Ensembl
GUACUCGCUUCAGCAGCACACAGACCAAAACAGGAGUGACACUGAGAAGAUUAGCAUGGCCCUGUACAAGGAUGACACACAAAUUCAUGAAGCAUUCCAUAUUUUG